AAAAAAAAUGGGCGAAACGCCCAUCUUCUCACUUAGCCAGGUGGUCGCACCUGGGGCGCGUAUUACAGCGCAGAAAAAAGCCGCACGCCCAGCGACUUUGUGAUUCUAGCCUUUU
Molecule: small RNA, 115 nt
Filed under: Paraburkholderia silvatlantica
Lineage: Bacteria; Pseudomonadati; Pseudomonadota; Betaproteobacteria; Burkholderiales; Burkholderiaceae
Description: sRNA Bp1_Cand612_SIPHT
Rfam family: Burkholderia sRNA Bp1_Cand612_SIPHT
Source: RNAcentral